This 639-nucleotide ribosomal RNA is filed under the name Triticum aestivum (bread wheat). RNAcentral's name for it is "partial small subunit ribosomal RNA". The record is from RNAcentral. Lineage: Eukaryota; Viridiplantae; Streptophyta; Magnoliopsida; Poales; Poaceae.
AUGGCCAACGCAAUGUUGCUCGCUGUGCUCGUCUCCUUCCUCGUCCUGCCCUUCUCCGCCCUGGCCCUGACCCAGGACUUCUGCGUGGCCGACCUGGCCUGCCCCGACACGCCGGCGGGGUACCCGUGCAAAAAGGGCGUCGGCCCGGGCGACUUCUACUACCACGGCCUCGCCACCGCGGGCAACACCAACAACCUCAUCAAGGCGGCCGUCACGCCGGCCUUCGUGGGCCAGUUCCCCGGCGUCAACGGGCUGGGCAUCUCCGCGGCCAGGCUCGACAUCGCCGUCGGCGGCGUCGUGCCGCUCCACACCCACCCGGCCGCCUCUGAGCUGCUCUUCGUCACCGAGGGCACCAUCCUCGCCGGCUUCAUCAGCUCCUCUUCCAACACCGUCUACACCAAGACGCUCUACAAGGGCGACAUCAUGGUCUUCCCUCAGGGCCUGCUCCACUACCAGUACAACGGCGGCAGCUCCCCGGCCGUCGCCCUCGUCGCCUUCAGCGGCCCUAACCCCGGCCUGCAGAUCACCGACUACGCGCUCUUCGCCAACAACCUGCCGUCCGCCGUCGUCGAGACCGUCACCUUCCUCGACGACGCGCAGGUCAAGAAGCUCAAGUCCGUGCUCGGCGGCACCGGCUAA